Molecule: ribosomal RNA, 449 nt
Filed under: uncultured bacterium
Lineage: Bacteria
Description: bacterial SSU rRNA
Rfam family: Bacterial small subunit ribosomal RNA
Source: RNAcentral
AACGAACGCUGGCGGCAUGUCUAACACAUGCAAGUCGAACGAGACCUUCGGGUCUAGUGGCGCACGGGUGCGUAACGCGUGGGAACCUGCCUUUAGGUUCGGAAUAACUCAGAGAAAUUUGAGCUAAUACCGGAUAAUGUCUUCGGACCAAAGAUUUAUCGCCUUUAGAUGGGCCCGCGUUGGAUUAGCUAGUUGGUGGGUAAAGGCCUACCAAGGCGACGAUCCAUAGCUGGUCUGAGAGGAUGAUCAGCCACACUGGGACUGAGACACGGCCCAGACUCCUACGGGAGGCAGCAGUGGGGAAUAUUGGACAAUGGGCGAAAGCCUGAUCCAGCAAUGCCGCGUGAGUGAUGAAGGCCUUAGGGCUGUAAAGCUCUUUUACCCGAGAUGAUAAUGACAGUAUCGGGAGAAUAAGCCCCGGCUAACUCCGUGCCAGCAGCCGCGGUAAU